Molecule: small RNA, 31 nt
Filed under: Bombyx mori (domestic silkworm)
Lineage: Eukaryota; Metazoa; Arthropoda; Insecta; Lepidoptera; Bombycidae
Description: ovarian small RNA-15085
Source: RNAcentral
GAAAUACAAUGUUAUACCAUGAAUUGGUGGA